This 253-nucleotide ribosomal RNA is filed under the name uncultured bacterium. RNAcentral describes it as "partial 16S ribosomal RNA". It matches the Rfam family "Bacterial small subunit ribosomal RNA", at positions 524 to 776 of the family's 1533-position model. The record is from RNAcentral.
GACGAACCGUGCGAACGUUGUUCGGAAUCACUGGGCUUAAAGGGCGCGUAGGCGGGCUGUCAAGUCUGGGGUGAAAUGCCGCGGCUCAACCGUGGAACUGCCUUAGAUACUGACGGCCUCGAGGAAGGUAGGGGCAUGCGGAACUGUAGGUGGCGCGGUGAAAUGCGUUGAUAUCCGGAGGAACACCGGUGGCGAAGGCGGCUUCCUGGACCGACACUGACGCUGAGGCGCGAAAGCUAGGGGAGCAAACGGG